UAGCCUUAGCGGAUUGUCAAUGCCCAAUUAGCAAUCCUAUGGCUAGGAACAUUUUAGGAAUGAACAUAAGAGAAAGGUCUCGAUAAUCUAACUCAUUAGAUCACUUAUCUCUUAGAACAAAUACAUUCCUUGGAUUCCCUUAUUGCUUAAACACAUGAUACAAUAAAUAGUGAUUAACAAUAAGAUUUGCCCUCCAUUAAACAUAUAAAAGUUUAACACAAUAAGUAUUCCAAAAAGCUAUUACAUCAAAUGAGUGGCUUUGUGGGCAUACUUCCAACAACUAUGGCCGGCCAUUUAGGGAGUUUUGGGCUUUUGGGCUUCAAUGAAUCUUUAUUCAUUAAAUUGUCAUACAACUUAAGUUAAUGGGCUUGACGUUCGAAGCCCAUUGG
RNAcentral lists this long non-coding RNA (389 nucleotides) under Malus domestica (apple). RNAcentral's name for it is "long non-coding RNA (MDOM_LNC013376)". Lineage: Eukaryota; Viridiplantae; Streptophyta; Magnoliopsida; Rosales; Rosaceae. The record is from RNAcentral.